GACGAACGCUGGCGGCGUGCCUAAUACAUGCAAGUUGAGCGCUGAAGGUUGGUACUUGUACCGACUGGAUGAGCAGCGAACGGGUGAGUAACGCGUGGGGAAUCUGCCUUUGAGCGGGGGACAACAUUUGGAAACGAAUGCUAAUACCGCAUAAAAACUUUAAACACAAGUUUUAAGUUUGAAAGAUGCAAUUGCAUCACUCAAAGAUGAUCCCGCGUUGUAUUAGCUAGUUGGUGAGGUAAAGGCUCACCAAGGCGAUGAUACAUAGCCGACCUGAGAGGGUGAUCGGCCACAUUGGGACUGAGACACGGCCCAAAAUCCUACGGGAGGCAGCAGUAGGGAAUCUUCGGCAAUGGACGAAAGUCUGAACGAGCAACGCCGCGUGAGUGAAGAAGGUUGUCGGAUCGUAAAAAUCUGUUGGUAGAGAAGAACGUUGGUGAGAGUGGAAAGCUCAUCAAGUGACGGUAACUACCCAGAAAGGGACGGCUAACUACGUG
This 497-nucleotide ribosomal RNA is filed under the name uncultured bacterium. RNAcentral describes it as "partial 16S ribosomal RNA". It matches the Rfam family "Bacterial small subunit ribosomal RNA", at positions 28 to 507 of the family's 1533-position model. The record is from RNAcentral.